GAUGAACGCUGGCGGCGUGCCUAACACAUGCAAGUCGAGCGGAAAGAUGUGUAGGGUUCCCCUCGGGCGUUAGCGGCGGGAGGGAGAGUAACACACGGAUCCGCUCCCUGUGAAACACGAAGCAAUUCGGGUACCAAGACCGAAUACCAGAUAAGAUUUAAAACCGGAGGGUGCAAGAGUUAACGACGGAGGUGCUGCCACUUGCAGAUGAGUCCGUGCCGGAUUAGCUAGUUGGUCGGGUAAAGGCUUACCAAGGCAACGAUGCGUAGCACACCUGAGAGGGCGACCGGCCACACUGGAACUGAGACACGGUCCAGACUCCUACGGGAGGCAGCAGUAGGGAAUCUUCGGCAAUGGGCGAAAGCCUGACGGAGCAAGGCCGCGUGAGUGAUGAAGGUCUUCGGGUCGUAAAACGCUGUUAUUAGGAAAGAACAAAUGUGUGAGUAACUAUGCACGUCUUGACGGUACCUAAAGAGAAAGCCCCGGCUAACUACGUG
Molecule: ribosomal RNA, 497 nt
Filed under: uncultured bacterium
Lineage: Bacteria
Description: partial 16S ribosomal RNA
Rfam family: Bacterial small subunit ribosomal RNA
Source: RNAcentral